RNAcentral lists this ribosomal RNA (525 nucleotides) under uncultured freshwater bacterium. RNAcentral's name for it is "bacterial SSU rRNA". It matches the Rfam family "Bacterial small subunit ribosomal RNA", at positions 8 to 579 of the family's 1533-position model. The record is from RNAcentral.
AGAGUUUGAUCCUGGCUCAGAAUGAACGCUGGCGGCAGGCCUAACACAUGCAAGUCGAACGGAUCCUUCGGGAUUAGUGGCGGACGGGUGAGUAACGCGUGGGAACAUACCCUUUGGUACGGAAUAGCCUCGGGAAACUGGGAGUAAUACCGUAUGUGCUCUUCGGAGGAAAGAUUUAUCGCCAAAGGAUUGGCCCGCGUUGGAUUAGGUAGUUGGUGGGGUAAUGGCCUACCAAGCCGACGAUCCAUAGCUGGUUUGAGAGGAUGAUCAGCCACACUGGGACUGAGACACGGCCCAGACUCCUACGGGAGGCAGCAGUGGGGAAUCUUAGACAAUGGGGGAAACCCUGAUCUAGCCAUGCCGCGUGAUCGAUGAAGGCCUUAGGGUUGUAAAGAUCUUUCAGAUGGGAAGAUAAUGACGGUACCAUCAGAAGAAGCCCCGGCUAACUCCGUGCCAGCAGCCGCGGUAAUACGGAGGGGGCUAGCGUUAUUCGGAAUUACUGGGCGUAAAGCGCACGUAGGCGGA